AGCAUUUUUACUACACAAAAGCUCCACUCUCUUUUCUGAAAAUUCAUAUUCCAAAAAAUCUUUUAAAAUUUUUUUAAAACCUCUCAUUUUCUUAUUCUUUGCAAGUUUAAAAACUGGUUUGAAAAAUAGAGAGUUUUUCUUGGUCUAUUAGUUGGGAUUUCUGGGUUCAGCUGGUUGGUUUUGGGGUCUGAAGUUUUGAUUCAUUUAGGGUUGCUGAAGUUGUGUUGUUUGUUGCUGCUUUUCUGUGCUUCUGAAGUUUUCCCAGCAUUUUUCUUUCUUUCCUUUUAUUUGCUAUUUCAAGGUACACAUAUUUCUCCCAUGUUUAAGUGUUUUGUAAAUGGAGUUUUCAAGAUGAAUACAAAUUAAUCUUUGUUCUUACCCGUGCUUAGAUAUUUGUAGGUUCCUUGCUUUAUGUUGCUAUCAUGCUGAAAUUUUCUGUCUUAAGUGAAUGUUUUUCCUUGUUCUUUUUGGUCCUUAUCAUGAGUAUGUAUACUUUUGCAUGAUGCUAGCAUUAUUGGUUGUGUUCAUUUCAGUUUAUACACAUUUCUUUUGUUACAUUGGUCAUGUAGUUUGUUCAUUAAGUGUAACCCUCGUAUGUCUAGACUCAUAGAUUAAACUGCUUUCCCCUUUUCCCUUGGGCCAUCCUUGUAGCAUAGGUUUAAGGCUUUUGUUGGUUCAAUGAGUUUAACCUUUCAAAUGUGGUUAAACCAAUGGAUCACUUUAUUUGGCAUUGAUUGAAUUCUUUUCUUUUUCUUGAAAAUAGUAUGGUUCAAGAUUAAUUUUACAUCAAGUCGUCUCUUCUUCUCUUCUUGUCAUACGUAGUAUGAAGUUAUUUAGGAUUUAUUUGUAGACUUUGAACCAACACCUAUAAAUUUGGCUACUAGUUGACCAAAUCAGUAGUUCCAAAGGCCUAAAAAUCCAGAAUUCAUCUGUCCAAGCCUGCUGCAGUUCAGUGUUAUUCACACUGAGAGGUAUGGUUCUUUUUGGAUAAACAAUGUCCAAGAGAAUCUGUGUUCAUUGGUUAUAUGGGGUUUGUACUAGUUUAGUUGGUUUAGAUUAGUAUUUAAUGUAUUUAGUAGGAUUACUAUGUAAUAAUUCUAUUUUUCUUGAAAAUUUGUAUUUUGAUGAGGAAAAUUAUAAUAAGUGAGACUUUAAUUUUGCUUUAAGUCAUUGAUAGGACGACCAUGAAAUUCUCGUAAGUAUUGGCACAAUGGGCUAGAUUGUGAUCCCAAUCCGUAAGGGCUACUUUCAUUUGGAAUAAGGCUGAAUUUAAAGCCCCGAAUGGAUUUGAUCAAAGAAAAGGAAUUUGUACCUAGGCUAUUGGGGCUGGGUCUUGAGCCCGAAUCCAAGCUUUUUCAUUUUUAUAAAUCAUGUUUCAAGUGUAUGCUUCUCAUGCUUUGCAAAUUAUGUGGCUAACUUUAAAACUGGAUAGCAAUUUGAUUUUCAUGCUCU
Molecule: long non-coding RNA, 1452 nt
Filed under: Nicotiana benthamiana
Lineage: Eukaryota; Viridiplantae; Streptophyta; Magnoliopsida; Solanales; Solanaceae
Description: long non-coding RNA (NBEN_LNC016209)
Source: RNAcentral